GNUUUACNCAUGCAAGUCGAACGGUAGGGGGGGCAACCCCUCGAGAGUGGCGAGCGGGUGAGUAAUAUAUCGGAACGUGCCCAGUCGUGGGGGAUAACGUAGCGAAAGUUACGCUAAUACCGCAUACGAUCUACGGAUGAAAGCGGGGGACCGUAAGGCCUCGCGCGAUUGGAGCGGCCGAUAUCAGAUUAGGUAGUUGGUGGGGUAAAGGCUCACCAAGCCAACGAUCUGUAGCUGGUCUGAGAGGACGACCAGCCACACUGGAACUGAGACACGGUCCAGACUCCUACGGGAGGCAGCAGUGGGGAAUUUUGGACAAUGGACGCAAGUCUGAUCCAGCCAUUCCGCGUGCAGGAUGAAGGCCCUCGGGUUGUAAACUGCUUUUGUACGGAACGAAAAGGUCUCUCUUAAUACGAGGGGUUCAUGACGGUACCGUAAGAAUAAGCACCGGCUAACUACGUGCCAGCAGCCGCGGUAAUACGUAGGGUGCAAGCGUUAAUCGGAAUUACUGGGCGUAAAGCGUGCGCAGGCGGUUAUGUAAGACAGAGGUGAAAUCCCCGGGCUCAACCUGGGAACUGCCUUUGUGACUGCAUAGCUAGAGUACGGUAGAGGGGGAUGGAAUUCCGCGUGUAGCAGUGAAAUGCGUAGAUAUGCGGAGGAACACCGAUGGCGAAGGCAAUCCCCUGGACCUGUACUGACGCUCAUGCACGAAAGCGUGGGGAGCAAACAGGAUUAGAUACCCUGGUAGUCCACGCCCUAAACGAUGUCAACUGGUUGUUGGGUCUUCACUGACUCAGUAACGAAGCUAACGCGUGAAGUUGA
RNAcentral lists this ribosomal RNA (822 nucleotides) under uncultured Curvibacter sp. Its description in RNAcentral is "bacterial SSU rRNA". It matches the Rfam family "Bacterial small subunit ribosomal RNA", at positions 46 to 868 of the family's 1533-position model. Lineage: Bacteria; Pseudomonadati; Pseudomonadota; Betaproteobacteria; Burkholderiales; Comamonadaceae. The record is from RNAcentral.